Molecule: non-coding RNA, 80 nt
Organism: Turdus rufiventris (rufous-bellied thrush)
Lineage: Eukaryota; Metazoa; Chordata; Aves; Passeriformes; Turdidae
Source: the annotation of a GenBank genome assembly
GCCCAGUUUAGAGCAUGGGUCUGUCCAGCCUAGUUUAGACCUGGGUCUGUCCAGCCCAGUUCAGAGCCUGGGUCAGAGCC